AUCAGUGCUAACCUUUCAGAACUUGAAGAAGAAAGAUUAUUGAAAGUUCUAAGGAAGCACUGGGCUGCUAUUGGAUAUACUGUUGAUGAUUUAAAGGGCAUUAGUCCCACUCUGUGUCAGCACAAAAUUAAUAUGGAACCUGAUGCUAAACCAGUUGUUGAUCACCAACGUCGGUUAAAUCCGAAGAUGAAAGAAGUGGUAAGAACAGAAAUAUUAAAACUUCUGGAAGCAGGUAUAAUCUAUCCCAUAGCUGAUAGUAGAUGGGUAAGUCCUAUUAAUUGUGUUCCUAAGAAAGGAGGUAUUAUUGUUGUUCCUAAUGAUAAGAAUGAACUUAUUCCACAAAGAAUUGUUACAGGCUAUAGAAUGGUAAUUGAUUUUAGAAAUUAA
Molecule: ribosomal RNA, 387 nt
Filed under: Triticum aestivum (bread wheat)
Lineage: Eukaryota; Viridiplantae; Streptophyta; Magnoliopsida; Poales; Poaceae
Description: partial small subunit ribosomal RNA
Source: RNAcentral